AAACCCAACAGCGAUACUGAUAAUACAUGUGUGCUUACUAUCCAGUUUUUAAAUUUUCUCAUGCAAUACUAAUCUCAUUGCUUUUGUAUGUCAGAUUUUAAAAUAGAGCAUGCUUAAUAUACUUCAGAUGUCUGCAAGGGGAACAGCAGCAAAUACCACAGUCCCAUGACAGCAAAGCUCCCUUUGGAUGACAUAGAUUUAUUACUUAGUAGUAUAUUAUGUAUUGGCUGUCCCACAUUUUGAAAUUUAAUGGACUCGUGGUGAUCAGAAUAAAAGAAGCCUUCGAUGUGAGGCCCAGGCAUUGAGUACCAUGUGUGCGAUUCACAAGCCUUGGCAUCUGAACAAUUUUUUGGAAGGAUCCAUCAGGACAACACGUCGGGGGUGUACUAGUGAAGUGAUUUUCCAAAUGUGCUACUCAGACCUGUAGCAUCAGCAUCACCGGAUAAUUUGUUAGAAAUUCCAACUGUUAGGCCCCACUUUAGACCAACUGAAUGUGAAACUCUGGGAGUACGUGGGGCCCAGCAAUUUGUGUUUUUACAAGACUUACCAGGUGAUUCUGAGAACCACUGUGCUAGUGAAUUGUUCCUGUCUGUGGCCACGUAGAAUAAGAAAACCAUAGGGUUGGAAAAUGGGGAAACUGGUGAGUGUUCGCUUAUGAGGAAAUGAAGAAUAGAUAGAAAAGAAUUAGUUAACUUUUGGAAUUCAAAAGAGAAGCAGUUUGUAAAAGCCAGGAAUUUGAUUUGAAGGACUAAUUGCUUGCAGAAUCUUUGCUUUCUCAGAGAGGGGCAAUCCAGAUCACUAGGUUACCGUGAAAUAUGUUGGUAUGGCUCUAAAAUUCUAGAAUAAUCUCUCUAGUGAGAAAAGGCAUACCUUUCCAUAUUAGGACAAAACUUCAAAUCAGGUUUGUAAAAUCCUAUAAGAUUAUUGUAUCCCAUUGCCAUGGCCAACUUGUUUGUCUCUGGAGAUCCCAGUUUCUACAUCUGAAAACCAUAUGCAUUCCUGCUCACCAGGAAUUAUCUCGCUGAAUGAAGCAAGAGAUUCAGGAUGUGUAAGAGAAUUUAUGAAGCAUUUGGAUUACCAAGAAAUGUGAAGUAUAAAGAUCAAGAAUGAUUAUUACAAACACUGAUGGUAAAGAGGUGUUUCGAAGUCGAUGCAAAAAAUGAGUUGCUUAUUUCAGUCUCUCUUUGAUAUAUCUGCCUUUUUAGUGCUGACUCUAUCAUGUAUUCACUAUUUGAUUUUCAGUGAAUCACAUUUUUUAAAGCUUUUAAUCUGUUUCCUCAAAAAAUAUAUUUUUUAAAAAUAUUUACUCAGGAUUGUUGUGAGAAUAAAAUUGAUUCGAUUGAUAUUUCAAAAAAGAAAUAUAUUUUUAAAAAAUAAAGCAAUACCAUUUUUGGAUAUGCUAGUGCUCUGACUGUUAUUUUAUGUCUGGGUUGAGGAAUCCUAAAGGA
RNAcentral lists this long non-coding RNA (1448 nucleotides) under Homo sapiens (human). RNAcentral describes it as "HSALNT0356646". Lineage: Eukaryota; Metazoa; Chordata; Mammalia; Primates; Hominidae. The record is from RNAcentral.